This 3029-nucleotide ribosomal RNA is filed under the name Salmonella enterica. RNAcentral describes it as "bacterial LSU rRNA". It matches the Rfam family "Bacterial large subunit ribosomal RNA". The record is from RNAcentral. Lineage: Bacteria; Pseudomonadati; Pseudomonadota; Gammaproteobacteria; Enterobacterales; Enterobacteriaceae.
GGGUUGUGAGGUUAAGCGACUAAGCGUACACGGUGGAUGCCCUGGCAGUCAGAGGCGAUGAAGGGCGUGCUAAUCUGCGAUAAGCGCCGGUAAGGUGAUAUGAACCGUUAUAACCGGCGAUACCCGAAUGGGGAAACCCAGUGUGACUCGUCACACUAUCAUUAACUGAAUCCAUAGGUUAAUGAGGCGAACCGGGGGAACUGAAACAUCUAAGUACCCCGAGGAAAAGAAAUCAACCGAGAUUCCCCCAGUAGCGGCGAGCGAACGGGGAGGAGCCCAGAGCCUGAAUCAGCAUGUGUGUUAGUGGAAGCGUCUGGAAAGGCGCGCGAUACAGGGUGACAGCCCCGUACACAAAAGCGCAUGUGCUGUGAGCUCGAUGAGUAGGGCGGGACACGUGGUAUCCUGUCUGAAUAUGGGGGGACCAUCCUCCAAGGCUAAAUACUCCUGACUGACCGAUAGUGAACCAGUACCGUGAGGGAAAGGCGAAAAGAACCCCGGCGAGGGGAGUGAAAAAGAACCUGAAACCGUGUACGUACAAGCAGUGGGAGCCCCACCACCAAAGCAUUCUCUGGUGUUGAAGGCCCUGCAAAGCAGCAUCGCGGUGGCGGAGCGUCGUUUGCGACGCCCAACACACAAAACAAGCGGUGAGUGCUUUGGGGUGGGGUGACUGCGUACCUUUUGUAUAAUGGGUCAGCGACUUAUAUUCUGUAGCAAGGUUAACCGAAUAGGGGAGCCGGAGGGAAACCGAGUCUUAAUUGGGCGUUAAGUUGCAGGGUAUAGACCCGAAACCCGGUGAUCUAGCCAUGGGCAGGUUGAAGGUUGGGUAACACUAACUGGAGGACCGAACCGACUAAUGUUGAAAAAUUAGCGGAUGACCUGUGGCUGGGGGUGAAAGGCCAAUCAAACCGGGAGAUAGCUGGUUCUCCCCGAAAGCUAUUUAGGUAGCGCCUCGUGAAUUCAUCUCCGGGGGUAGAGCACUGUUUCGGCUAGGGGGCCAUCCCGGCUUACCAACCCGAUGCAAACUGCGAAUACCGGAGAAUGUUAUCACGGGAGACACACGGCGGGUGCUAACGUCCGUCGUGAAGAGGGAAACAACCCAGACCGCCAGCUAAGGUCCCAAAGUCAUGGUUAAGUGGGAAACGAUGUGGGAAGGCCCAGACAGCCAGGAUGUUGGCUUAGAAGCAGCCAUCAUUUAAAGAAAGCGUAAUAGCUCACUGGUCGAGUCGGCCUGCGCGGAAGAUGUAACGGGGCUAAACCAUGCACCGAAGCUGCGGCAGCGACGCUGAUGCGUUGUUGGGUAGGGGAGCGUUCUGUAAGCCUGCGAAGGUGGCCUGUGAGGGUUGCUGGAGGUAUCAGAAGUGCGAAUGCUGACAUAAGUAACGAUAAAGCGGGUGAAAAGCCCGCUCGCCGGAAGACCAAGGGUUCCUGUCCAACGUUAAUCGGGGCAGGGUGAGUCGACCCCUAAGGCGAGGCCGAAAGGCGUAGUCGAUGGGAAACGGGUUAAUAUUCCCGUACUUGGUGUUACUGCGAAGGGGGGACGGAGAAGGCUAUGUUGGCCGGGCGACGGUUGUCCCGGUUUAAGCGUGUAGGUGUGUGUUCCAGGUAAAUCCGGUUCACUUUAACACUGAGGCGUGAUGACGAGGCACUACGGUGCUGAAGCAACAAAUGCCCUGCUUCCAGGAAAAGCCUCUAAGCAUCAGGUAACAUCAAAUCGUACCCCAAACCGACACAGGUGGUCAGGUAGAGAAUACCAAGGCGCUUGAGAGAACUCGGGUGAAGGAACUAGGCAAAAUGGUGCCGUAACUUCGGGAGAAGGCACGCUGACACGUAGGUGAAGUGAUUUACUCAUGGAGCUGAAGUCAGUCGAAGAUACCAGCUGGCUGCAACUGUUUAUUAAAAACACAGCACUGUGCAAACACGAAAGUGGACGUAUACGGUGUGACGCCUGCCCGGUGCCGGAAGGUUAAUUGAUGGGGUCAGCGCAAGCGAAGCUCCUGAUCGAAGCCCCGGUAAACGGCGGCCGUAACUAUAACGGUCCUAAGGUAGCGAAAUUCCUUGUCGGGUAAGUUCCGACCUGCACGAAUGGCGUAAUGAUGGCCAGGCUGUCUCCACCCGAGACUCAGUGAAAUUGAACUCGCUGUGAAGAUGCAGUGUACCCGCGGCAAGACGGAAAGACCCCGUGAACCUUUACUAUAGCUUGACACUGAACAUUGAGCCUUGAUGUGUAGGAUAGGUGGGAGGCUUUGAAGUGUGGACGCCAGUCUGCAUGGAGCCGACCUUGAAAUACCACCCUUUAAUGUUUGAUGUUCUAACGUGGACCCGUGAUCCGGGUUGCGGACAGUGUCUGGUGGGUAGUUUGACUGGGGCGGUCUCCUCCUAAAGAGUAACGGAGGAGCACGAAGGUUGGCUAAUCCUGGUCGGACAUCAGGAGGUUAGUGCAAUGGCAUAAGCCAGCUUGACUGCGAGCGUGACGGCGCGAGCAGGUGCGAAAGCAGGUCAUAGUGAUCCGGUGGUUCUGAAUGGAAGGGCCAUCGCUCAACGGAUAAAAGGUACUCCGGGGAUAACAGGCUGAUACCGCCCAAGAGUUCAUAUCGACGGCGGUGUUUGGCACCUCGAUGUCGGCUCAUCACAUCCUGGGGCUGAAGUAGGUCCCAAGGGUAUGGCUGUUCGCCAUUUAAAGUGGUACGCGAGCUGGGUUUAGAACGUCGUGAGACAGUUCGGUCCCUAUCUGCCGUGGGCGCUGGAGAACUGAGGGGGGCUGCUCCUAGUACGAGAGGACCGGAGUGGACGCAUCACUGGUGUUCGGGUUGUCAUGCCAAUGGCACUGCCCGGUAGCUAAAUGCGGAAGAGAUAAGUGCUGAAAGCAUCUAAGCACGAAACUUGCCCCGAGAUGAGUUCUCCCUGAGACUUAGAGUCUCCUGAAGGAACGUUGAAGACGACGACGUUGAUAGGCCGGGUGUGUAAGCGCAGCGAUGCGUUGAGCUAACCGGUACUAAUGAACCGUGAGGCUUAACCUUACAACGCCGAAG